RNAcentral lists this ribosomal RNA (801 nucleotides) under uncultured bacterium. RNAcentral describes it as "bacterial SSU rRNA". It matches the Rfam family "Bacterial small subunit ribosomal RNA", at positions 8 to 796 of the family's 1533-position model. The record is from RNAcentral.
AGAGUUUGAUCAUGGCUCAGGACGAACGCUGGCGGCGCGCUUAACACAUGCAAGUCGAGCGAGAACCAGUCCUUCGGGGCUGGGGACAGCGGCGAACGGGUGAGUAACACGUGAGUCAUCCACCCUCGGUACCGGAAUAGCCCGGGGAAACUCGGAUUAAUGCCGGAUGGCCCACCCGCCCCUCGGGGCGGUUGGAAAAGAUAGCUUCGGCCUUCGACCGGGGACGAGCUCGCGGCGGAUUAGCUUGUUGGCGGGGUAAAGGCCCACCAAGGCGACGAUCCGUAGCUGGUCUGAGAGGACGAUCAGCCACACUGGGACUGAGACACGGCCCAGACUCCUACGGGAGGCAGCAGUGGGGAAUCUUGCGCAAUGGGCGAAAGCCUGACGCAGCGACGCCGCGUGAGGGAAGAAGGCCUUCGGGUUGUAAACCUCUUUCAGGAGGGACGAAGCCACUCGGGUUAAUAGCCCAGAGGGUGACGGUACCUCCAGAAGAAGCCCCGGCUAACUACGUGCCAGCAGCCGCGGUAAUACGUAGGGGGCAAGCGUUGUCCGGAUUUAUUGGGCGUAAAGAGCGUGUAGGCGGCCAUACAGGUCUGCUGUGAAAACUCGAGGCUCAACCUCGAGCUGUCGGUGGAAACCGUAUGGCUAGAGUCCGGAAGAGGAGAGUGGAAUUCCCGGCGUAGCGGUGAAAUGCGCAGAUAUCGGGAAGAACACCCGUGGCUAAGGCGGCUCUCUAGUACGGUACUGACGCUGAGACGCGAAAGCGUGGGGAGCGAACAGGAUUAGAUACCCUCGUAGUCC